Molecule: ribosomal RNA, 489 nt
Filed under: uncultured Sphingobacteriales bacterium
Lineage: Bacteria; Pseudomonadati; Bacteroidota; Sphingobacteriia; Sphingobacteriales
Description: bacterial SSU rRNA
Rfam family: Bacterial small subunit ribosomal RNA
Source: RNAcentral
CCCGCUCAGAAACUCAAAGGAUUGACGGGGCCCGCACAAGCGGUGGAGCAUGUGGUUUAAUUCGAUGAUACGCGAGGAACCUUACCUGGGCUCAAAUGUAUGUUGACGUAUUCUGAAAGGGAUACUUCUUCGGACAAUAUACAAGGUGCUGCAUGGUUGUCGUCAGCUCGUGCCGUGAGGUGUCGGGUUAAGUCCCAUAACGAGCGCAACCCCUAUCAUUAGUUGCCAUCAGGUCAAGCUGGGGACUCUAAUGAAACUGCCUACGCAAGUAGUGAGGAAGGUGGGGAUGACGUCAAAUCAGCACGGCCCUUACGUCCAGGGCUACACACGUGCUACAAUGGCCGGUACAAAGGGCAGCUACCUGGUGACAGGAUGCUAAUCUCAAAAGCCGGUCUCAGUUCGGAUCGGAGUCUGCAACCCGACUCCAUGAAGUUGGAAUCGCUAGUAAUCGCGCAUCAGCAUGGCGCGGUGAAUACGUUCCCGGGCCUU